RNAcentral lists this ribosomal RNA (486 nucleotides) under uncultured bacterium. RNAcentral's name for it is "partial 16S ribosomal RNA". It matches the Rfam family "Bacterial small subunit ribosomal RNA", at positions 28 to 507 of the family's 1533-position model. The record is from RNAcentral.
GAUGAACGCUAGCGGCAGGCUUAACACAUGCAAGUCGAGGGGCAGCGCGGGAUAGCAAUAUCCUGGCGGCGACCGGCGGAAGGGUGCGUAACGCGUGAGCGACAUGCCCGUUGCCCGGGGACAACCGGGGGAAACGCCGACUAAUCCCCGAUGGGAUAUUGUGCCGCAUGGCACGAUAUUGAAAGUUACGGCGGCGACGGAUUGGCUCGCGUCCGUUUGGCUGGUUGGCGGGGUAACGGCCCACCAAGGCUGCGAUCGGUAGGGGUUCUGAGAGGAAGGCCCCCCACAAUGGGACUGAGCCACGGCCCAUACUCCUACGGGAGGCAGCAGUGAGGAAUAUUGGUAAAUGGGCGGAAGCCUGAACCAGCCAUGCCGCGUGCGGGAAGGAGGCCCUAUGGGCUGUGAACCGCUUUUGCCUGGGGGCAAUAAGGGCGUCGCGCACGUCCGAUGAGAGUACCAGGCGAAUAAGCAUCGGCUAACUCCGUG